This 253-nucleotide ribosomal RNA is filed under the name uncultured bacterium. Its description in RNAcentral is "partial 16S ribosomal RNA". It matches the Rfam family "Bacterial small subunit ribosomal RNA", at positions 57 to 305 of the family's 1533-position model. The record is from RNAcentral.
GCAAGUCGAACGGUAGGGGUACCUUCGGGUACUCUGAGAGUGGCGGACGGGUGAGUAACACGUAGGUGAUCUACCCUUGGAUGGGGGAUAGUCCAUGGAAACAUGGGGUAAUACCGCAUAAGGCCUGUAUUCUGCGGGGUAUAGGUGAAAGGCGCAAUUGUGCUGUCUGAGGAUGAGCCUGCGGUCCAUUAGUUAGUUGGCGGGGUAAAGGCCCACCAAGGCGAUGAUGGAUAGCCGGCCUGAGAGGACGAUC